This 70-nucleotide transfer RNA is filed under the name Scriptaphyosemion cauveti (Kindia killi). Its description in RNAcentral is "tRNA-Trp". It matches the Rfam family "tRNA". Rfam says of the family: Transfer RNA (tRNA) molecules are approximately 80 nucleotides in length. Their secondary structure includes four short double-helical elements and three loops (D, anti-codon, and T loops). Lineage: Eukaryota; Metazoa; Chordata; Actinopteri; Cyprinodontiformes; Nothobranchiidae. The record is from RNAcentral.
AGAAACUUAGGUUAAAUAAAACCAAGAGCCUUCAAAGCCCUAAACAGGAGUGAAAACCUCUUAGUCUCUG